This 426-nucleotide unclassified non-coding RNA is filed under the name fungal sp. Its description in RNAcentral is "partial internal transcribed spacer region". The stretch from base 1 to 46 matches the Rfam family "Eukaryotic small subunit ribosomal RNA", at positions 1786 to 1831 of the family's 1831-position model. The record is from RNAcentral. Lineage: Eukaryota; Fungi.
AAGUCGUAACAAGGUUUCCGUAGGUGAACCUGCGGAAGGAUCAUUAACACGUGAUACUCACGUAUUAACCACCCACCGUGAACUGUUAUUCUGUCCUACUGUUGAUUGUAAGCAGGCGAAACGAGGGAAUGCUAUGCGGCGCUCAUGUUACCACGCAAGUGGUGGACCUCUCAUACCCGCUAACUCGUCAGUCGUUCGUUGGUCCGCCCAUGAGCUUGCACCAGCAACUAGUUGAUUAAUUACGAGCGCUUAUUAAGCCUGUAGCAUAGCUUGCUGCUCGUAGUGACCUUAUUAACCCCUUUUUUACUAUUAUUCACUGAUUUUGUACGUUGAUAUGAAUUCCUGACUGCGAGGUCGGUUGAGUUUGUGUCGAUGUCGUAUAUUACUAAUACGAAACAACUCUUAGCAACGGAUAUCUUGGUUCUC